RNAcentral lists this ribosomal RNA (253 nucleotides) under uncultured bacterium. Its description in RNAcentral is "partial 16S ribosomal RNA". It matches the Rfam family "Bacterial small subunit ribosomal RNA", at positions 524 to 776 of the family's 1533-position model. The record is from RNAcentral.
UACGGGGGGGGCAAGCGUUGUUCGGAAUUACUGGGCGUAAAGGGCUCGUAGGUGGCCAACUAAGUCGGACGUGAAAUCCCUCGGCUUAACCGGGGAACUGCGUCUGAUACUGGAUGGCUUGAGUUCGGGAGAGGGAUGCGGAAUUCCAGGUGUAGCGGUGAAAUGCGUAGAUAUCUGGAGGAACACCGGUGGCGAAGGCGGCAUUCUGGACCGAUAUUGACGCUGAGGAGCGAAAGCCAGGGGAGCAAACGGG